Molecule: ribosomal RNA, 376 nt
Filed under: uncultured organism
Description: partial 16S ribosomal RNA
Rfam family: Bacterial small subunit ribosomal RNA
Source: RNAcentral
GUAGGUGGCAAGCGUUGUCCGGGAAUUAUUGGGGCGUAAAGCGCGCGCAGGCGGUUCUUUAAGUCUGAUGUGAAAGCCCACGGGCUCAACCGUGGAGGGUCAUUGGAAACUGGAGAACUUGAGUACAGAAGAGGAAAGCGGAAUUCCACGUGUAGCGGUGAAAUGCGUAGAGAUGUGGAGGAACACCAGUGGCGAAGGCGGCUUUCUGGUCUGUAACUGACGCUGAGGCGCGAAAGCGUGGGGAGCAAACAGGGUUAGAUACCCUGGUAGUCCACGCCGUAAACGAUGAGUGCUAAGUGUUAGGGGGUUUCCGCCCCUUAGUGCUGCAGCUAACGCAUUAAGCACUCCGCCUGGGGAGUACGGCCGCAAAGGCUGA